GAAUUGAAAGCUAAAAUAAGCAUUGAUCUUGUAAAUCAAAGAUAGAGAAUCUUUCCUCUCAAUUCU
Molecule: transfer RNA, 66 nt
Filed under: Dendrobaena veneta
Lineage: Eukaryota; Metazoa; Annelida; Clitellata; Crassiclitellata; Lumbricidae
Description: tRNA-Thr
Source: RNAcentral